GAUGAACGCUGGCGGCGUGCCUAAUACAUGCAAGUCGAGCGAACAGACGAGGAGCUUGCUCCUCUGACGUUAGCGGCGGACGGGUGAGUAACACGUGGAUAACCUACCUAUAAGACUGGGAUAGCUUCGGGAAACCGGAGCUAAUACCGGAUAAUAUAUUGAACCGCAUGGUUCAAUAGUGAAAGACGGUUUUGCUGUCACUUAUAGAUGGAUCCGCGCCGCAUUAGCUAGUUGGUAAGGUAACGGCUUACCAAGGCAACGAUGCGUAGCCGACCUGAGAGGGUGAUCGGCCACACUGGAACUGAGACACGGUCCAGACUCCUACGGGAGGCAGCAGUAGGGAAUCUUCCGCAAUGGGCGAAAGCCUGACGGAGCAACGCCGCGUGAGUGAUGAAGGUCUUCGGGUCGUAAAACUCUGUUAUUAGGGAAGAACAAAUGUGUAAGUAACUAUGCACGUCUUGACGGUACCUAAUCAGAAAGCCACGGCUAACUACGUG
RNAcentral lists this ribosomal RNA (497 nucleotides) under uncultured bacterium. RNAcentral describes it as "partial 16S ribosomal RNA". It matches the Rfam family "Bacterial small subunit ribosomal RNA", at positions 28 to 507 of the family's 1533-position model. The record is from RNAcentral.